AGCAGCUCACACUCACAAAUAUCUCUGCUCUCUCUCUCCGAUUUUACACAACCAACCACCCACCAAUUCCCCAUAAAUUUAUUUGUUGAAGUUGAAUAGACCAAAGGAAACACCAUAGUCUUCCCCUUCAUUCUAGACAACACAUUCCAAGAUCCCCAAUUUUUAGCACACAUCACACACACUUGUGUGUGUGCGUAUCCGAGAAAUCGAGAAAGAUGCAUGAGAGACUAGAUGAAGACGUGGGUGACCGGCCACCUAGUCACGGCGGCGACUCGAUGGUGCAUGACGGCACAUGGUGGCUCGCUUAUUUUUUUUUCUUUGACCCGACUUUUCAACUAGUAACCUCAUCCUCUUGACUCCUCCAUUAGUUCUCCCCUAAAGGGCAAGACCAGGUGAUGGUGGUGAGGCCUUAAAGGACGUCACAACAGUAGCGUGGUGUCGAGCAAAGAUCGGACACAUGAGCAUCCAGAUCUGAGCAGAUCGUGUUUGUGCAUAUUGGUUCGUUUCCAACCGGAUUCACUUUUCGGGUUACUCCAUGGUGUCUGGGUAUUGGUGACCGUAAUGGAACACGGCAAAGAACCGUUGGCUGGCCGACGACGACGGAUGAGGUGGUUUUGGGUUAGAUUAAGAGCAAAGCGAGGGGGGAAUGCUUUAGUUGCACGCUAGCGAGCUCACAUUCUUGGAACGACACUAUGGAAUAUACACUUAGCUAGCUUUGCACAAGGAUAUCAAGGUUACUUUUUCAGAAACAAUGGCACGGUUGGAAUAGGAGAACCCAUGGGAAUUCGAGUA
RNAcentral lists this long non-coding RNA (792 nucleotides) under Helianthus annuus (common sunflower). Lineage: Eukaryota; Viridiplantae; Streptophyta; Magnoliopsida; Asterales; Asteraceae. The record is from RNAcentral.